UCGAGAAACUUCCACAAUGGGCGAAAGCCUGAUGGAGCGACGUCGCGUGAUGGACGAAGUGCUUCGGCACGUAAACAUCUUUUAUGUGGGAUGAAAUUAUUGACAGUACCACAUGAAUAAGGGGCUCCUAACUCUGUGCCAGCAGGAGCGGUAAUACAGAGGCCCCAAGCGUUAUCCGGAAUCACUGGGCGUAAAGGGUGUCGAGGCGGUUGUAUUAGUCGUUCGUAAAAUCUACGAGCUUAACUUGUAGGCGGCGAACGAAACGGUACGACUUGAGGUUUGGAGAGGUGCGUGGAACUCACGGUGUAGGGGUGAAAUCCGUUGAUAUCGUGGGGAACACCAAAGGCGAAGGCAGCGCACUGGCCAAAAUCUGACGCUCACACACGAAAGCUAGGGUAGCGAAGAGGAUUAGAUACCCAGGUAGUCCCUGAGCGGGCUGGCAAGGCGC
RNAcentral lists this ribosomal RNA (448 nucleotides) under uncultured bacterium. RNAcentral's name for it is "bacterial SSU rRNA". It matches the Rfam family "Bacterial small subunit ribosomal RNA", at positions 355 to 823 of the family's 1533-position model. The record is from RNAcentral.